UGCUAGUUGUGCGGGUUUAGACCCGCAGCGGAGAGCUCAGUAACACGUGGCCAAACUACCCUGUGGAUGGGAACAAUCUCGGGAAACUGAGGCUAAUUCCCAAUAACGCUCCGCCCCUGGAACGGGCGAAGCUGGAAACGCUACGGCGCCACAGGAUGUGGCUGCGGUCGAUUAGGUAGACGGUGGGGUAACGGCCCACCGUGCCAAUAAUCGGUACGGGUUGUGAGAGCAAGAGCCCGGAGACGGAAUCUGAGACAAGAUUCCGGGCCCUACGGGGCGCAGCAGGCGCGAAACCUUUACACUGUACGCAAGUGCGAUAAGGGGACUCCGAGUGUGAAGGCAUAGAGCCUUCACUUUUGUACACCGUAAGGUGGUGUACGAAUAAGGGCUGGGCAAGACCGGUGCCAGCCGCCGCGGUAAUACCGGCAGCCCGAGUGAUGGCCGAUAUUAUUGGGCCUAAAGCGUCCGUAGCUGGCCGGACAAGUCCGUUGGGAAAUCUGUUCGCUUAACGAGCAGGCGUCCAGCGGAAACUGUUCGGCUUGGGACCGGAAGACCUGAGGGGUACGUCCGGGGUAGGAGUGAAAUCCUGUAAUCCUGGACGGACCACCGGUGGCGAAAGCGCCUCAGGAGGACGGAUCCGACAGUGAGGGACGAAAGCUAGGGUCUCGAACCGGAUUAGAUACCCGGGUAGUCCUAGCUGUAAACGAUG
RNAcentral lists this ribosomal RNA (709 nucleotides) under Halobacterium sp. PeD1. Its description in RNAcentral is "bacterial SSU rRNA". It matches the Rfam family "Archaeal small subunit ribosomal RNA", at positions 52 to 762 of the family's 1478-position model. The record is from RNAcentral. Lineage: Archaea; Methanobacteriati; Methanobacteriota; Halobacteria; Halobacteriales; Halobacteriaceae.